This 253-nucleotide ribosomal RNA is filed under the name uncultured bacterium. RNAcentral's name for it is "partial 16S ribosomal RNA". It matches the Rfam family "Bacterial small subunit ribosomal RNA", at positions 524 to 776 of the family's 1533-position model. The record is from RNAcentral.
UACGGGGGGGGUAAGCGUUGUUCGGAAUUACUGGGCGUAAAGGGCGCGUAGGCGGCCUUCUAAGUCGAACGUGAAAUCCCCGGGCUCAACCCGGGAACUGCGUCCGAUACUGGAAGGCUUGAAUUCGGGAGAGGAAUGCGGAAUUCCAGGUGUAGCGGUGAAAUGCGUAGAUAUCUGGAGGAACACCGGUGGCGAAGGCGGCAUCCUGGACCAUUACUGACACUGAAAAGCGAAAGCCAGGGGAGCAAACGGG